RNAcentral lists this ribosomal RNA (495 nucleotides) under uncultured bacterium. RNAcentral's name for it is "partial 16S ribosomal RNA". It matches the Rfam family "Bacterial small subunit ribosomal RNA", at positions 28 to 523 of the family's 1533-position model. The record is from RNAcentral.
GAUGAACGCUAGCGGGAGGCCUAACACAUGCAAGCCGAGCGGUAGAGUUCCUUCGGGAACUUGAGAGCGGCGUACGGGUGCGUAACACGUGUGCAACCUACCUUUAUCUGGGGGAUAGCCUUUCGAAAGGAAGAUUAAUACCCCAUAAUAUAUUGAAUGGCAUCAUUUAAUAUUGAAAACUCUGGUGGAUAGAGAUGGGCACGCGCAAGAUUAGAUAGUUGGUGAGGUAACGGCUCACCAAGUCUGUGAUCUUUAGGGGUCCUGAGAGGGGGAUCCCCCACACUGGUACUGAGACACGGACCAGACUCCUACGGGAGGCAGCAGUGAGGAAUAUUGGACAAUGGGUGAGAGCCUGAUCCAGCCAUCCCGCGUGAAGGAUGACGGUCCUAUGGAUUGUAAACUUCUUUUGUACAGGAAUAAACCUAUUUACGUGUAAAUAGCUGAAGGUACUGUACGGAUAAGCACCGGCUAACUCCGUGCCAGCAGCCGCCGUAA